GAGGACAGCUGCUGGCUAGCUUCUCCAUGACGCACUUUUUGUUCCAAGUAUGGCUGUGAACUAGAUUCAUAAGUGCUAGAUGGACUUGCCAAUACUGGUUGAGAAGAUUGAAGGGUUGGUGAAGGUGCAUGAGAAGAUUGGACCAUUGGUGAAGGUGCAUGAAAAGAUUGGACCAUUGGUGACGGUGCAUUAUCUGUCAAAGAAGCGGCACUAGUAGCAGCUGCUUCAGUCACAGUCCGAUCAGCCUCCCUUACAACAUUCAAACCAAGUAAGUC
RNAcentral lists this long non-coding RNA (275 nucleotides) under Durio zibethinus. Its description in RNAcentral is "long non-coding RNA (DZIB_LNC000251)". Lineage: Eukaryota; Viridiplantae; Streptophyta; Magnoliopsida; Malvales; Malvaceae. The record is from RNAcentral.